RNA transcript from Hypomesus transpacificus, 2623 nucleotides. RefSeq lists it as uncharacterized. Lineage: Eukaryota; Metazoa; Chordata; Actinopteri; Osmeriformes; Osmeridae. The transcript has 13 exons. The record is from RefSeq and is a predicted model, not a curated record.
ACCAUUUAUGGAACCAUCGGUUGCGCAGUGUCUCCUCGUGGACACAAAUGGCACUGUCUGAUGGUUAUAUUUCCUACUGCAAAAAAUAUCCACCGCUUUGCACAGUUGUGGGUAUCGCCACCUUAGGCUUCUUGUAUAUUUAUAGCGCGGAAAAUACCUUAUUUUUAAAAACUUUUUUGAAAAUGGCCUCAAUCCCCAUAAAAAUCUGUGUUGAUUGUAUUACUUCCGGUAACACUCCACAAUAACAAUCCACCGAGUAUGGUUAUUUUCCAAGUAACAUUCUCACUUCCAUAUGAGCCAAAAUUGCAACCAUGAGGUUGGCAUAGGUCUGUGCAGCUGCGAAAAAAGUAUUGAUUCGUGUAUUUCCGUGCUUAAACCGCCAUCUGAACAAGAAGGUGAAAAGCUCUUCUAUUAAGUUCAACAGGCACGCGUAUUGUCAUAAUUGUCCUAACCUCUGACAAUUAUGACGUAGCCUUAUAGAAAACAAUAUUGACUAAUUUUGGUUCAAAGCGCGUCAAUAGUGAUAUCCUUGCUUGCUCUUUGUCUCUGCGCCUGCUUCCCCGUCCCCUCUCUGAUCUUCUCUCCCCUCUGCUAGAUUUGGGUGAGCUGUUGAGAAUUUCUUAUUUUUCUCAUCCACAAACAAGUAGUGUUUAAACUCCGCAGUUGAGGGAUCAAACAUUAAGAGUCGUGUGGUUGAGUUGCCACUAAUGCCUGGGGAAAUCCCGAGCCCACCUGCGUCAGCAUUGCGCCGGCAAAGUAUGGAGGUCAAAAAGGUUGUGGAGGAGUACUGUCCCAAGGAGAGAGAAGAGGGUAUGAAUGUGAUCACACGAAGAUCCAGUCUGUCCAGCAGCCGACGCACCACCGACCGCUGUCGAGGAAGAGACUAUCUGCACAGUACCGUGACCGAGGAGGAUGAGGAGGUAUACACGCCAAGAUCAGAGGGCAGAGACGACCCGGAAAACCACACUGCAUGGACACCUCACCGGUUUAUUACUUUAAACUCUCCUGCCAGGGAGGAGUCGACUUGGUCCCUGAACUGUGAAACAGUGGCGGAGAAGGAAACACAGGGAAACGCUCACAGGAUGUGCGUGGCUGAAAGACGAACGACUGGAAUGAAAGACGGCGCGUGGAGACUGUGGCCUUCCAGCCCACUGUGCAAUGGAUAUGAAGCAGCUUUCCUUAAAAGUUUGCCAGUGCAGGGGCUCGGCAGACAAUCAGAGCCCCCCCCUGUGUCCUCCCCUACGGAAAGCCUGAGGGACAAACUGUACAGGAAAACCAAGCAUGUGUUAGAUUACACAGUCACUGAUGCGAUAGGAAAGCCUCCCGUGAGGUGUGGCUCCAAUCAAAGCCAGUUUUUCAGACCGUGUCUUCCGGAGUGGCAUGCGUCCAAUGUACCCACAUCAAGGACAAUCAAUACAAAGGAACUUUUCCGGACCACAGACAUCAGAAAGACUAAAGAUGGUAGUCCGUGGAUGAGGCUUAGAGACCGUAUACCCAGCCGUGAAAGGAGCAACAGCACCUUGUCUUCUACUCCUUCAUUCACAAGCACUAAGGGGAACGCCUCAUCCUCCCCUUCUAAGGAAGCUGCAAUUAAUAUGCCAUCUGUCGUCAGGAAGACCUCGAACAUCAUCAUGGAGGCAUGUGUCUCAUUUUAGACAGCUCAUCACAAUCACAGACACCCAAAAGUAUUUGGAGUAACACUAUGAUACAGUGUAAGUUGUACAGCAGGUCUCUCCUUGUGUUAUUCAGGAGAGAAAGAGAUGCUACUACAAGGAUCUGUGCCAGCAGGUGGAGGAGAAAAGACAGGACCGGCAGAGAGAGAGAAAGAAAACUGCUUUGGCCAACCGUGAGCACAAUAAGACCAUGCAGUUGUGUAUCUGGGGGAAGCCAGGGAGUGGAGCCCCAAACUACCAGCUUAAGUCUGUGAGAAGGACCAGGUUCAGUUCCACAGGGAUCAUACCCCAGGAGCAGGUAGACUCCACAGCAGGUUUCAGCAGACGGUUUUAUCCAAAGCAACAUACAAAGACUGCAUAUAGAAAUCACAGCAGAAAACUGUACACUUGAUUAUCUUGUGUACUACACUGUAGUAUGUGACUUUGGAGAAAAGCAUCUGCAGGAAAAGAAAAAAGCAAGCUACUUUACACGAAGUAAAGUGUAUAUAAUGUAUGAAGUACCAUUUCCCCUGUAUGAUGGUCAACAGCUGAAACGUAACACUCAGGGCAGGCUAUGCUAACACCAGGGGAUGCUAUGGGAACACCAGGGGACGCCUCUAGUCCGUGAAAGCCUCGUUUGAGGUCCUGACAAGAGUGUGGAUCCUGGUCCUUGGAGGUGAAUGUAGAUCCUAUUUUCUCAUCUGGUCGUCUGAAUGCUCUCUUUGUUCCAUCCCCAGCUUCGCAGCACAGGCUUCUCUGGGACCCCCUUUCGUGUGGGUGUGAAGUGAACGCCAUCCUCCCCCGUCCCACUUCAGCCCAGACCAGAAGACCAGACUGCUGAUGUCAUUAAACUAUUGUUGUGCAGUGGGCCAAGUACCGUUCGUGUCUGACUUUUGCUCAAGUAGUGUUUUGGCUGGGGGUCAGAUGGGAGUUAGGGAAUUGGGCUACCAAUCAGAAGGUUGCUGGUUUGA